Long non-coding RNA from Hippocampus zosterae (dwarf seahorse), 518 nucleotides. RefSeq lists it as uncharacterized. NCBI's taxonomy places the organism in Eukaryota, Metazoa, Chordata, Actinopteri, Syngnathiformes, Syngnathidae. The record is from RefSeq and is a predicted model, not a curated record. The transcript is spliced from 4 exons.
GUGUGUUCUUGUACUUAUGACAUUGUGAGGACCGGCAUGAGUUUUUAACCAACAGAGUGAGGACAUUUUGACGAAGCGAGGACUUUUUUUUUUGGCCGGUCCUCACUGUGCCACAAGUGCAGGAAUGAAUGUGUGUGUGUGUGUGUGUUCUUGUACUUAUGACAUUGUGAGGACCGGCAUGAGUUUUUAACCAAGAGUGAGGACAUUUUGACGAAGCGAGGACUUUUUUUUUGGCCGGUCCUCACUGUGCCACAAGUGCAGGAAUGUGAAUGUGUGUGUGUGUGUUCUUGUACUUAUGACAUUGUGAGGACCGGCAUGAGUUUUUAACCAAGAGUGAGGACAUUUUGACGAAGCGAGGACUUUUUUUGGCCGGUCCUCACUGUGCCACAAGUGCAGGAAUGUGAAUGUGUGUGUGUGUGUGUGUUCUUGUACUUAUGACAUUGUGAGGACCGGCAUGAGUUUUUAACCAACAGAGUGAGGACAUUUUGACGAAGCGAGGACUUUUUUUGGCCGGUCCU